Callithrix jacchus (white-tufted-ear marmoset) is the source of this 1453-nucleotide non-coding RNA. Lineage: Eukaryota; Metazoa; Chordata; Mammalia; Primates; Cebidae. The record is from RefSeq and is a predicted model, not a curated record.
AUGACAGAUGACAAAGAUUCCCUGCCUAAGAUUAAGGACCUGGCAUUUCUCAAGAACCAUCUAGAGAUCUUGAGAUCUCAAGAACCAGCAGUGGCACGUGGAAGAUGAAGUCAACAGCAGGGCAGGCCAGGAUGGCUCGCUAUUGUCCUCCCCAUUCCUCAAGAGAUUCCUGGCUAGCUGUGGUGGCCACACUGAGGGCAUCAGCAGUAUUAGGCUUUGCCAUGAGCACCUGUGCUGGCAUCUAUGCAGCUCAGGGCUCAGGCUAUGCUGUGCCCAAUGUGGAGAUGGCAUUGAAAGACUAUUUGCAGUCACUAUGCAAGGGGCCCGACUAUCUCUAGAUGCUAUGGGGGAGGCAGAAUAAUGAUCUGGAGCCUGCAGGUAGAGACACUGUCUGGCUUCUCUGGCUGUCAUCCAUUUUUCUUCCAACUUUCAUGCCAACUUUAUCCUUGCCUCCCUUCCUGCAGACUGUGGACAGUGGCUUAUCAGCCUGCUCCCUGGAUUCCUUCUUCCCCCUCCCAACUCCAUCAGACUGGCCCCAAGACUGUGACUUCAAGGGCCACCAGCCCCUUACUCUUCAAGCCCUGACUAUGCAGUUGGCAGAUGAUUCUGAUCCUCAGUAUCCUCUCUGGCAAUGUCCCAUGGCUCCUACCUACUGGGAGCUGGCUCCAUAACUUGAUUUCCCCCAAAUAUGUUACAAUCCCAACUGCCCCUUGCUAACUACACAGGCCACCCAAAGUCUAGCAUGGGUAUGAAGGCAGUGGACCUUGAUGCUACUCAUGCCCAUGCCCCAUGCUGGCACUGUGCCAUGUGGACAGCCAGGUGCCCAUCCAGCCCUCCUCAGCUGUGGAGCUGAGUUGACCAAGCUACUGUUAGGUACCUUCUCCCUUCUAGUGGGCUGGCAAGCAUGGCCCUAGGGAGCUCCACUCUGACACCAAGAUGCUCCCUUCACACUAUCAGCCCUGCUCUAUGGCACUAACAACAGCCUAGUGAUCUAUCUUCAGCAUGACAUGAACCCCAGCACCUACCAGGUGCUGAGCAAUUGGAAGCAGGACCCUGUUCCAGUGUCUGCCUCCAGCACUGCUUCUCUGCACCUCAGGGGUUAGCACUGCUGCUGGCUGCGGGACCUGUUACCCAUCAGGUGGCCUUUAAGAACUUGGUACACCCUUCCCAGCCCCCUCCAGCAGCUGCUGCCAGCCCCAUGCCCCUACACAUGACUCACCUGGGCCUGCUCCUCCUCAUCAUGGACUUCCUCAUCUCAGGCCUGUCGUCACUGCAGAGCUGCUCAUGAGAAGACAGCAGCUGCCCCUGGCACUUUAGAACGUCUUUCUCUAUACCUUUGGUGUGCUCCUGAAUCUAGAGCUUCAUGCUGCUGGUGGCCCCAGCCCAGGCCUCCUGGAAGGCUUCUCAGCAUGGGCAGAACUUGUGGUGCUGAGUCAGGGAUAAAUGGACUGCU